AGUGGGAUAGCUGGGUCGAAUGGAGGUUCCACUCCAAGUUUUCUGAGGAAUAUUCAUGCUGCUUUCCAGAAUGGUUGCACCAAUUUGCAGUCCCACCAGCAAU
RNAcentral lists this microRNA precursor (103 nucleotides) under Marmota monax (woodchuck). Lineage: Eukaryota; Metazoa; Chordata; Mammalia; Rodentia; Sciuridae. The record is from RNAcentral.